UUAAUAAUGCCCUCUGGCUUCGGUCAGCUGGGUUCAAUGAGUGCCUUCUCUUCGGAGUUGGCCAUCCACACACACCGUGAACUGUGGCUUCGGCCAUCACAAACUGUUAGUAAUGAAUGUAAUAUCAUAACAAAAACAAAACCUUUAACAACGGAUCUCUUGGCUCUCGCAUCGGUGAAGAACGCAGCGAAAUGCGAUAAGUAAUGUGAAUUGCAGAAUUCAGUGAAUCAUCGAAUCUUUGAACGCACCUUGCGCCCUUUGGUAUUCCGAAGGGCAUGCCUGUUUGAGUGUCAUGAAACCUCACCCCACUUGGGUUUUUGCCUGAGUGGUGGUGUCUUGGGUGUUGCCUUGCUAAAGGCUCGCCUUAAAAACAUAAGCACCUUGGAUGUAAUACGUUUCAUCCUUCUGGGUGGCUGAUAACCCCACAUAUUCAUGAUCUGGCCUCAAAUCAGGUAGGGCUACCCGCUGAACUUAAGCAUAUCAUA
RNAcentral lists this small RNA (485 nucleotides) under uncultured fungus. RNAcentral describes it as "eukaryotic LSU rRNA". The stretch from base 140 to 293 matches the Rfam family "5.8S ribosomal RNA". The record is from RNAcentral. Lineage: Eukaryota; Fungi.